This 423-nucleotide ribosomal RNA is filed under the name uncultured bacterium. RNAcentral's name for it is "bacterial SSU rRNA". It matches the Rfam family "Bacterial small subunit ribosomal RNA", at positions 207 to 622 of the family's 1533-position model. The record is from RNAcentral.
AAGACCUUGCGCUUUUGGAGCGGCCGAUGCCUGAUUAGCUUGUUGGUAAGGUAAAAGCUUACCAAGGCUUCGAUCAGUAGCUAGUCUGAGAGGACGACCAGCCACACUGGGACUGAGACACGGCCCAGACUCCUACGGGAGGCAGCAGUGGGGAAUUUUGGACAAUGGGGGCAACCCUGAUCCAGCCAUGCCGCGUGAGUGAAGAAGGCCUUCGGGUUGUAAAGCUCUUUCAGCCGGAACGAAACGGUUACGGUUAAUACCCGUGACUACUGACGGUACCGGAAGAAGAAGCACCGGCUAACUACGUGCCAGCAGCCGCGGUAAUACGUAGGGUGCGAGCGUUAAUCGGAAUUACUGGGCGUAAAGCGUGCGCAGGUGGUUUUGUAAGUCAGAUGUGAAAGCCCCGGGCUCAACCUGGGAACU